ACUCCUACGGGAGGCAGCAGUAGGGAAUAUUGGUCAAUGGGCGAAAGCCUGAACCAGCCAUGCCGCGUGUCAGAUGAAGGUCCUCUGGAUUGUAAAUGACUUUUCUACGGGAAGAAUGAGCCGUCUGCGGACGGAAGUUGACGGUACCGUAGGAAUAAGCACCGGCUAACUACGUGCCAGCAGCCGCGGUAAUACGUAGGGGUGCAAGCGUUGUCCGGAUUUACUGGGUUUAAAGGGUACGUAGGCGGUUGUGCCAAGUCUGGGGUGAAAGUUUGCAGCUCAACUGUAAAAUUGCCUUGGAUACUGGUCGGCUAGAGUAGUGGAGCGGUGGCUGGAAUUUAUAGUGUAGCGGUGAAAUGCUUAGAUACUAUGAGGAACACCAAUUGCGAAGGCAGGUCACUGGUCACUAACUGACGCUGAGGUACGAAAGUGUGGGGAUCAAACAGGAUUAGAUACCCCUGGUAGGAUAGCG
This 472-nucleotide ribosomal RNA is filed under the name uncultured bacterium. Its description in RNAcentral is "bacterial SSU rRNA". It matches the Rfam family "Bacterial small subunit ribosomal RNA", at positions 335 to 799 of the family's 1533-position model. The record is from RNAcentral.